UUAUCCUGACUAAGAUUUUGCUAAAUUGAAAUACACUGAUGCAUAUCUCCUACCAAUUUAGAGGGGUCAAUUUCAUCUUGACUCACACACCGACUUGAUAAGUACUUGACUCACCUAGUAUUCUUUCAUCACUAAGUUAGAAACUCAGAUAGUUUAGUAUUAAAGUAUAGUGAAUUGCUUAUAAGUCACCGUGGUGGUCUCAGAUCGGAGGGACACUUAUACCCAUACCUUUCAUAAGCUACUCUUGACAGUAAAGUACUCGGCAC
RNAcentral lists this long non-coding RNA (266 nucleotides) under Elaeis guineensis (African oil palm). RNAcentral describes it as "long non-coding RNA (EGUI_LNC077605)". The record is from RNAcentral. Lineage: Eukaryota; Viridiplantae; Streptophyta; Magnoliopsida; Arecales; Arecaceae.